UAAUACAUGCAAGUCGAGCGAGCGGAACCACAGAUUUACUUCGGUAAUGACGUUGGGNAAAGCGAGCGGCGGAUGGGUGAGUAACACGUGGGGAACCUGCCCCUAAGUCUGGGAUACCAUUUGGAAACAGGUGCUAAUACCGGAUAAUAAAGCAGAUCGCAUGAUCAGCUUUUGAAAGGCGGCGUAAGCUGUCGCUAAGGGAUGGCCCCGCGGUGCAUUAGCUAGUUGGUAAGGUAACGGCUUACCAAGGCGACGAUGCAUAGCCGAGUUGAGAGACUGAUCGGCCACAUUGGGACUGAGACACGGCCCAAACUCCUACGGGAGGCAGCAGUAGGGAAUCUUCCACAAUGGACGCAAGUCUGAUGGAGCAACGCCGCGUGAGUGAAGAAGGUUUUCGGAUCGUAAAGCUCUGUUGUUGGUGAAGAAGGAUAGAGGUAGUAACUGGCCUUUAUUUGACGGUAAUCAACCAGAAAAUGUCACGGCUAACUACGUGCCAGCAGCCGCGGUAAUACGUA
Molecule: ribosomal RNA, 515 nt
Filed under: Lactobacillus sp. DumLac52
Lineage: Bacteria; Bacillati; Bacillota; Bacilli; Lactobacillales; Lactobacillaceae
Description: bacterial SSU rRNA
Rfam family: Bacterial small subunit ribosomal RNA
Source: RNAcentral